This 2797-nucleotide ribosomal RNA is filed under the name Klebsiella pneumoniae. RNAcentral describes it as "bacterial LSU rRNA". It matches the Rfam family "Bacterial large subunit ribosomal RNA". Lineage: Bacteria; Pseudomonadati; Pseudomonadota; Gammaproteobacteria; Enterobacterales; Enterobacteriaceae. The record is from RNAcentral.
CGGCGAUGUCCGAAUGGGGAAACCCAGUGCAAUUCGUUGCACUAUCGUUAACUGAAUACAUAGGUUAACGAGGCGAACCGGGGGAACUGAAACAUCUAAGUACCCCGAGGAAAAGAAAUCAACCGAGAUUCCCCCAGUAGCGGCGAGCGAACGGGGAGCAGCCCAGAGUCUGAAUCAGCUUGUGUGUUAGUGGAACGGUCUGGAAAGUCCGACGGUACAGGGUGAUAGUCCCGUACACCAAAAUGCACAGGCUGUGAACUCGAAGAGUAGGGCGGGACACGUGGUAUCCUGUCUGAAUAUGGGGGGACCAUCCUCCAAGGCUAAAUACUCCUGACUGACCGAUAGUGAACCAGUACCGUGAGGGAAAGGCGAAAAGAACCCCGGCGAGGGGAGUGAAAAAGAACCUGAAACCGUGUACGUACAAGCAGUGGGAGCACCUUCGGGUGUGACUGCGUACCUUUUGUAUAAUGGGUCAGCGACUUAUAUUCUGUAGCAAGGUUAACCGUAUAGGGGAGCCGCAGGGAAACCGAGUCUUAACUGGGCGUUAAGUUGCAGGGUAUAGACCCGAAACCCGGUGAUCUAGCCAUGGGCAGGUUGAAGGUUGGGUAACACUAACUGGAGGACCGAACCGACUAAUGUUGAAAAAUUAGCGGAUGACUUGUGGCUGGGGGUGAAAGGCCAAUCAAACCGGGAGAUAGCUGGUUCUCCCCGAAAGCUAUUUAGGUAGCGCCUCGUGAAUUCAUCUUCGGGGGUAGAGCACUGUUUCGGCUAGGGGGUCAUCCCGACUUACCAACCCGAUGCAAACUACGAAUACCGAAGAAUGUUAUCACGGGAGACACACGGCGGGUGCUAACGUCCGUCGUGAAGAGGGAAACAACCCAGACCGCCAGCUAAGGUCCCAAAGUCAUGGUUAAGUGGGAAACGAUGUGGGAAGGCACAGACAGCCAGGAUGUUGGCUUAGAAGCAGCCAUCAUUUAAAGAAAGCGUAAUAGCUCACUGGUCGAGUCGGCCUGCGCGGAAGAUGUAACGGGGCUAAACCAUGCACCGAAGCUGCGGCAGCGACACUAUGUGUUGUUGGGUAGGGGAGCGUUCUGUAAGCCUGCGAAGGUGACCUGUGAGGGUUGCUGGAGGUAUCAGAAGUGCGAAUGCUGACAUAAGUAACGAUAAAGCGGGUGAAAAGCCCGCUCGCCGGAAGACCAAGGGUUCCUGUCCAACGUUAAUCGGGGCAGGGUGAGUCGACCCCUAAGGCGAGGCCGAAAGGCGUAGUCGAUGGGAAACAGGUUAAUAUUCCUGUACUUGGUGUUACUGCGAAGGGGGGACGGAGAAGGCUAUGUUAGCCGGGCGACGGUUGUCCCGGUUUAAGCAUGUAGGCUGGUUAUCCAGGCAAAUCCGGAUAAUCAAGGCUGAGGUGUGAUGACGAGGCACUACGGUGCUGAAGUAACAAAUGCCCUGCUUCCAGGAAAAGCCUCUAAGCAUCAGGUAACAUCAAAUCGUACCCCAAACCGACACAGGUGGUCAGGUAGAGAAUACCAAGGCGCUUGAGAGAACUCGGGUGAAGGAACUAGGCAAAAUGGUGCCGUAACUUCGGGAGAAGGCACGCUGGUGUGUAGGUGAAGUCCCUGCGGAUGGAGCUGAGACCAGUCGAAGAUACCAGCUGGCUGCAACUGUUUAUUAAAAACACAGCACUGUGCAAACACGAAAGUGGACGUAUACGGUGUGACGCCUGCCCGGUGCCGGAAGGUUAAUUGAUGGGGUUAUCCGUAAGGAGAAGCUCUUGAUCGAAGCCCCGGUAAACGGCGGCCGUAACUAUAACGGUCCUAAGGUAGCGAAAUUCCUUGUCGGGUAAGUUCCGACCUGCACGAAUGGCGUAAUGAUGGCCAGGCUGUCUCCACCCGAGACUCAGUGAAAUUGAACUCGCUGUGAAGAUGCAGUGUACCCGCGGCAAGACGGAAAGACCCCGUGAACCUUUACUAUAGCUUGACACUGAACAUUGAGCCUUGAUGUGUAGGAUAGGUGGGAGGCUUUGAAGCGUGGACGCCAGUCUGCGUGGAGCCAACCUUGAAAUACCACCCUUUAAUGUUUGAUGUUCUAACGUUGGCCCCUGACCGGGGUUGCGGACAGUGUCUGGUGGGUAGUUUGACUGGGGCGGUCUCCUCCCAAAGCGUAACGGAGGAGCACGAAGGUUAGCUAAUCCUGGUCGGACAUCAGGAGGUUAGUGCAAUGGCAUAAGCUAGCUUGACUGCGAGCGUGACGGCGCGAGCAGGUGCGAAAGCAGGUCAUAGUGAUCCGGUGGUUCUGAAUGGAAGGGCCAUCGCUCAACGGAUAAAAGGUACUCCGGGGAUAACAGGCUGAUACCGCCCAAGAGUUCAUAUCGACGGCGGUGUUUGGCACCUCGAUGUCGGCUCAUCACAUCCUGGGGCUGAAGUAGGUCCCAAGGGUAUGGCUGUUCGCCAUUUAAAGUGGUACGCGAGCUGGGUUUAGAACGUCGUGAGACAGUUCGGUCCCUAUCUGCCGUGGGCGCUGGAGAAUUGAGGGGGGCUGCUCCUAGUACGAGAGGACCGGAGUGGACGCAUCACUGGUGUUCGGGUUGUCAUGCCAAUGGCACUGCCCGGUAGCUAAAUGCGGAAGAGAUAAGUGCUGAAAGCAUCUAAGCACGAAACUUGCCCCGAGAUGAGUUCUCCCUGAGACUUUAAGUCUCCUGAAGGAACGUUGAAGACGACGACGUUGAUAGGCCGGGUGUGUAAGCGCAGCGAUGCGUUGAGCUAACCGGUACUAAUGAACCGUGAGGCUUAACCUU